Lolium rigidum is the source of this 89-nucleotide small nucleolar RNA. RefSeq annotates it as small nucleolar RNA Z162. NCBI's taxonomy places the organism in Eukaryota, Viridiplantae, Streptophyta, Magnoliopsida, Poales, Poaceae. The transcript has a single exon. The record is from RefSeq and is a predicted model, not a curated record.
UACGGCACAAUAAGGAUUUAUCUAAUCUAAUGCAUCUUCAAGGUUGGAGUACCAAUUAUUCUUUUCUGUUCUUUUCAUCCUGAUGCCCU